This 520-nucleotide long non-coding RNA is filed under the name Homo sapiens (human). RNAcentral describes it as "LHRI_LNC1882.3". The record is from RNAcentral. Lineage: Eukaryota; Metazoa; Chordata; Mammalia; Primates; Hominidae.
UUUUGGAAAGCAUACCAACAUUCAGACCAUAGAACCAGCCAAUGAGAUUGUGGGCUAUUCUUCCACCAUACUCAAUGGGCAAAGACAUGGAGUAGGGCAGAGAGCUGGAUUUAACCAGGGUUGGAGUUUGGCCAAGCUAAAUAAUGGCUCCCAAAGAUGUGUCUACAUCCUAAUCUCCAGAAUCUGUGAAUGUUACUUUAUGUGGCAAGUACGUGGCAGAUGUAAUUAAGUCAAGGAUCUUUGGAUGGUUAUCCUGAAUUAUCUGGGUGGGCCCUAAAUACAAUCACAAGUGUCCUUAUAGGAGAGAGGCUGAAGGAGAUUUGGUACCAACAGAAGAGGAGGAGGAAAUUGUGAUCAUGCAGAAACUGGAGUGAUGGAGUCACAAGCCAAGGAAUGCCAGCAGCCACCAGAAGCCGAAAGAGGCCCUGCCAACACCUUGAUUUAGGCCUAAUGAAACUGAGUUUAGAUUUCUGGACCCCAGAACUGUGAAAGAAUAAAUUUCUGUUGUGUUAAGCCCCUA